This 1485-nucleotide ribosomal RNA is filed under the name metagenome. RNAcentral describes it as "bacterial SSU rRNA". It matches the Rfam family "Bacterial small subunit ribosomal RNA". The record is from RNAcentral.
AGAGUUUGAUCCUGGCUCAGGAUGAACGCUAGCUACAGGCUUAACACAUGCAAGUCGAGGGGAAACGACAUCGAAAGCUUGCUUUUGAUGGGCGUCGACCGGCGCACGGGUGAGUAACGCGUAUCCAACCUGCCCACCACUUGGGGAUAACCUUGCGAAAGUAAGACUAAUACCCAAUGAUAUCUCUAGAAGACAUCUGAAAGAGAUUAAAGAUUUAUCGGUGAUGGAUGGGGAUGCGUCUGAUUAGCUUGUUGGCGGGGUAACGGCCCACCAAGGCAACGAUCAGUAGGGGUUCUGAGAGGAAGGUCCCCCACAUUGGAACUGAGACACGGUCCAAACUCCUACGGGAGGCAGCGGUGGGGAAUAUUGGGCAAUGGGGGGAACCCUGACCCAGCAACGCCGCGUGGAGGAAGAAGGUUUUCGGAUCGUAAACUCCUGUCCUUGGAGACGAGUAGAAGACGGUAUCCAAGGAGGAAGCCCCGGCUAACUACGUGCCAGCAGCCGCGGUAAUACGUAGGGGGCAAGCGUUGUCCGGAAUAAUUGGGCGUAAAGAGCGCGUAGGCGGCUCGGUAAGUCUGGAGUGAAAGUCCUGCUUUUAAGGUGGGAAUUGCUUUGGAUACUGUCGGGCUUGAGUGCAGGAGAGGUUAGUGGAAUUCCCAGUGUAGCGGUGAAAUGCGUAGAGAUUGGGAGGAACACCAGUGGCGGAGGCGACUAACUGGACUGUAACUGACGCUGAGGCGCGAAAGUGUGGGGAGCAAACAGGAUUAGAUACCCUGGUAGUCCACACUGUAAACGAUGAAUGCUAGGUGUAGGGGGUAUCGACCCCUUCUGUGCCGCAGUCAACACAAUAAGCAUUCCGCCUGGGGAGUACGGCCGCAAGGUUGAAACUCAAAGGAAUUGACGGGGGCCCGCACAAGCAGCGGAGCAUGUGGUUUAAUUCGACGCAACGCGAAGAACCUUACCAGGUCUUGACAUCCACUUAAACUUACAGAGAAGUAAGGUGUGCUUGCACAAAGUGAGACAGGUGGUGCAUGGUUGUCGUCAGCUCGUGUCGUGAGAUGUUGGGUUAAGUCCCGCAACGAGCGCAACCCUUAUCUUCAGUUACUAACGCGUAGAGGUGAGGACUCUGAAGAGACUGCCGGGGACAACUCGGAGGAAGGUGGGGACGACGUCAAAUCAUCAUGCCCCUUAUGACCUGGGCUACACACGUGCUACAAUGGCCACGACAGAGAGAAGCGAAAUCGCAAGGUAGAGCGGAACUCAAAAAAGUGGUCCCAGUUCGGAUUGUGGGCUGCAACCCGCCCACAUGAAGUCGGAGUUGCUAGUAAUCGCGGAUCAGCAUGCCGCGGUGAAUACGUUCCCGGGCCUUGUACACACCGCCCGUCACACCAUGGGAGUUGGGAGUGCCCAAAGCCGGUGAGGCAACCGCAAGGAGCCAGCCGUCUAAGGCAAGACCAAUGACUGGGGUGAAGUCGUAACAAGGUA